GCUGGAAAAGAAGCAUGGUGAAUAUUUGAACGGUCGUCAGAUUUCACUUUAUAUGGCUGAUUUCAACAAAGCUGCAUACCUUCUGCCCAAGUAUUGCAAAGAAUACGACUCUCACUCUCAUUUUGAACACUACCUUCGACGAGAAAGCCUCCUGAUAGAAGAAGAUGAUGCAUACGGAGGAUUUG
This is a non-coding RNA of Camelina sativa (false flax), 185 nucleotides long. NCBI's taxonomy places the organism in Eukaryota, Viridiplantae, Streptophyta, Magnoliopsida, Brassicales, Brassicaceae. The record is from RefSeq and is a predicted model, not a curated record.